GAGAGGUAACGGCUCACCAAGGCAUCGACGGGUAGCUGGUCUGAGAGGAUGAUCAGCCACACUGGAACUGAGACACGGUCCAGACUCCUACGGGAGGCAGCAGUGGGGAAUCUUGCACAAUGGGCGAAAGCCUGAUGCAGCGAUGCCGCGUGCGGGAAGAAGGCCCUAGGGUUGUAAACCGCUUUCAGGAGGGAAGAAAAUGACGGUACCUCCAGAAGAAGGUGCGGCCAACUACGUGCCAGCAGCCGCGGUAACACGUAGGCACCAAGCGUUAUCCGGAUUUAUUGGGCGUAAAGAGCUCGUAGGCGGUUCAGUCAGUCGGGUGUGAAAACUUGAGGCUUAACCUCAAGAGGUCACUCGAUACUGCUGUGACUAGAGUGCGGUAGGGGAGCGGGGAAUUCCUGGUGUAGCGGUGAAAUGCGCAGAUAUCAGGAGGAACACCAGUGGCGAAGGCGCCGCUCUGGGCCGUAACUGACACUGAGGAGCGAAAGCAUGGGUAGCAAACAGGAUUAGAUACCCUGGUAGUCCAUGCCGUAAACGUUGGGCACUAGGUGUGGGUCUCAACCAACGAGAUCCGCGCCGUCGCUAACGCAUUAAGUG
This 600-nucleotide ribosomal RNA is filed under the name uncultured Actinomycetes bacterium. Its description in RNAcentral is "bacterial SSU rRNA". It matches the Rfam family "Bacterial small subunit ribosomal RNA", at positions 252 to 866 of the family's 1533-position model. Lineage: Bacteria; Bacillati; Actinomycetota; Actinomycetes. The record is from RNAcentral.